GUUUCAGGUAUGAUUCUUAAACUUAGAAUCCUAUAACCUUACAGUUCAUCCACUUCUUGCACUUCUCUUUCCAUGAAAAUGACUUAUUUACAAGUUCAUCCUCCAAUUUUUCAUAUUUGAUCGGCUGAUUUCUUCUAAAUUGAGAAAUUUCUGUUAAGAGUUAAUCCGUGUUUUAUAUUUUAUUUUAUUUUUAUUUCUACAUUUUUGUGGCUUGUAUAUUU
This 221-nucleotide unclassified non-coding RNA is filed under the name Hevea brasiliensis (rubber tree). The record is from RNAcentral. Lineage: Eukaryota; Viridiplantae; Streptophyta; Magnoliopsida; Malpighiales; Euphorbiaceae.